AGAAUAAGGUCGAGUCAUUAUGCUCUUUUUUCAGAGAUAUUCAUGUGUUACAAAGUUUGCGACAUGAGAUCUUACUAGAUGAGCUGGAAGUAAAAGCUUAUCAUCCGAAUUGAAAACUGAAAUGUCUUUAUGAAGGAGGAAUUAUUUGUAAUCUUUGGUUAGUUACUUAAAGGUGGACAGGAGAUAAAUUUUGCACAUACUGCCCGUCAAGCAAAAAGCAGAGAUGUAGAUUCAAACAGACCUUUGUAAAAUUGUUAAAUUGGCAUGCUAAUUUGUGUUAAGUCGAAACAUGGUAGCUCAUCAGGAAUGAUGGGCUUGAU
This 320-nucleotide ribosomal RNA is filed under the name Symbiodinium sp. CCMP2430. RNAcentral's name for it is "partial Bacterial small subunit ribosomal RNA". It matches the Rfam family "Bacterial small subunit ribosomal RNA", at positions 1176 to 1523 of the family's 1533-position model. Lineage: Eukaryota; Dinophyceae; Suessiales; Symbiodiniaceae. The record is from RNAcentral.